RNAcentral lists this ribosomal RNA (808 nucleotides) under uncultured fungus. RNAcentral's name for it is "eukaryotic LSU rRNA". It matches the Rfam family "Eukaryotic large subunit ribosomal RNA", at positions 24 to 664 of the family's 3401-position model. Lineage: Eukaryota; Fungi. The record is from RNAcentral.
CCCGCUGAACUUAAGCAUAUCAAUAAGCGGAGGAAAAGAAACUAACAAGGAUUCCCCUAGUAACUGCGAGUGAAGCGGGAAGAGCUCAAAUUUGAAAUCUGGCGGCUUCGCCGUCCGAGUUGUAUUCUGGAGAAGCGUUUUCCGUGCUGGACCGUGUACAAGUCCCUUGGAACAGGGCGUCGUAGAGGGUGAGAAUCCCGUCUUUGACACGGACUGCCAGUGCUCUGUGAUGCGCUCUCGAAGAGUCGAGUUGUUUGGGAAUGCAGCUCAAAAUGGGUGGUAAAUUCCAUCUAAAGCUAAAUAUUGGCGAGAGACCGAUAGCGAACAAGUACCGUGAGGGAAAGAUGAAAAGAACUUUGAAAAGAGAGUUAAAAAGUACUUGAAAUUGCUAAGAGGGAAGCACUGGAAACCAGUAUAAUCGACUUGCGUGUAUUUUUACCGUUUGCUCCCGGAUUUGAUUAGUUGUCUUGUGCCCAAAGCCAAGCUGCUGGUCGAUGAAGGUGUGAAUGGGUCCUGUACUGCAAGCCGGAUCAGAAUCAAUUCGAUUCGUGAGAGAAAGCUAUGGCAACGGUAGUUCUGCAGGGGGCAACUCCUGUGGAAUGAUUAGUGCUGUAGUGCUAUCAUGGAUUGGAUUGAGGUACAAUCGCAAUGCGCACCACUAGGUUAUCGACUCCCCGACCCUGGUUUAUCAAGAGACGUGAACAACAAAGUUGUGCUGUUUCUGAAGUAUUCUACUGGAAAGGAUGAGUUAGACGCAGCAUUCGAGAUUCUGAUGAAAUGGUUUUCAUUGACCCGUCUUGAAACACGG